This 72-nucleotide transfer RNA is filed under the name Ictidomys tridecemlineatus (thirteen-lined ground squirrel). Its description in RNAcentral is "Spermophilus tridecemlineatus (thirteen-lined ground squirrel) tRNA". It matches the Rfam family "tRNA". Rfam says of the family: Transfer RNA (tRNA) molecules are approximately 80 nucleotides in length. Lineage: Eukaryota; Metazoa; Chordata; Mammalia; Rodentia; Sciuridae. The record is from Rfam by way of RNAcentral.
AGGGUUGUGGCUCAGUGGUAGAGUGCUUGCCUACCAUUCGAGAGGUACUGGGUUCGUUCCCCAGCACCACUU